RNAcentral lists this ribosomal RNA (922 nucleotides) under Lactiplantibacillus pentosus. Its description in RNAcentral is "bacterial SSU rRNA". It matches the Rfam family "Bacterial small subunit ribosomal RNA", at positions 518 to 1440 of the family's 1533-position model. The record is from RNAcentral. Lineage: Bacteria; Bacillati; Bacillota; Bacilli; Lactobacillales; Lactobacillaceae.
CGGUAAUACGUAGGUGGCAAGCGUUGUCCGGAUUUAUUGGGCGUAAAGCGAGCGCAGGCGGUUUUUUAAGUCUGAUGUGAAAGCCUUCGGCUCAACCGAAGAAGUGCAUCGGAAACUGGGAAACUUGAGUGCAGAAGAGGACAGUGGAACUCCAUGUGUAGCGGUGAAAUGCGUAGAUAUAUGGAAGAACACCAGUGGCGAAGGCGGCUGUCUGGUCUGUAACUGACGCUGAGGCUCGAAAGUAUGGGUAGCAAACAGGAUUAGAUACCCUGGUAGUCCAUACCGUAAACGAUGAAUGCUAAGUGUUGGAGGGUUUCCGCCCUUCAGUGCUGCAGCUAACGCAUUAAGCAUUCCGCCUGGGGAGUACGGCCGCAAGGCUGAAACUCAAAGGAAUUGACGGGGGCCCGCACAAGCGGUGGAGCAUGUGGUUUAAUUCGAAGCUACGCGAAGAACCUUACCAGGUCUUGACAUACUAUGCAAAUCUAAGAGAUUAGACGUUCCCUUCGGGGACAUGGAUACAGGUGGUGCAUGGUUGUCGUCAGCUCGUGUCGUGAGAUGUUGGGUUAAGUCCCGCAACGAGCGCAACCCUUAUUAUCAGUUGCCAGCAUUAAGUUGGGCACUCUGGUGAGACUGCCGGUGACAAACCGGAGGAAGGUGGGGAUGACGUCAAAUCAUCAUGCCCCUUAUGACCUGGGCUACACACGUGCUACAAUGGAUGGUACAACGAGUUGCGAACUCGCGAGAGUAAGCUAAUCUCUUAAAGCCAUUCUCAGUUCGGAUUGUAGGCUGCAACUCGCCUACAUGAAGUCGGAAUCGCUAGUAAUCGCGGAUCAGCAUGCCGCGGUGAAUACGUUCCCGGGCCUUGUACACACCGCCCGUCACACCAUGAGAGUUUGUAACACCCAAAGUCGGUGGGGUAACC